UCACUUUUUAACACUAAAAUUUUGUAUUUACCUCAAUUCCGUUUCAGACAAACAAGAAAGUUAACUUCUAUCAAUAACCAUAAUGACUAUUAGUUUUACCGAAUAAAAACGCUGAGAAAUCCGGUCGAUCAUCAUCUGGCAAGGUCCAAGGUGGUUCACCAGU
This is a long non-coding RNA of Melitaea cinxia (Glanville fritillary), 163 nucleotides long. RefSeq lists it as uncharacterized. The record is from RefSeq and is a predicted model, not a curated record. Lineage: Eukaryota; Metazoa; Arthropoda; Insecta; Lepidoptera; Nymphalidae. The transcript is spliced from 3 exons.